Molecule: long non-coding RNA, 1745 nt
Organism: Nycticebus coucang (slow loris)
Lineage: Eukaryota; Metazoa; Chordata; Mammalia; Primates; Lorisidae
Exons: 4
Source: RefSeq, a predicted model, not a curated record
AUAUAUAUAUAUAUAUGUAUAUAUAAAACUCAAACCAUGUCACUCAGAUUAUUCCAGCCACAUUGGCCUCCCUGCUAUUUUUAAGACAUUCCAGCACCUUCCUCCCUAGGUGCUUUACUGCUUUCUGCCUUUGACAUUUUCUUUCCAUUUAUCCACUUGGCUUUGUCCUUCACUUCAUUCAAGUCUUUGCUCAAAUGUCACCUUCCCUAUGAGGCCUUUUCUGACCUCUUGAUUAAAUUUGUCCACCCCCACCCACCCACUCCUUUUCACAUAGCACUUAUCCCCAACUGUCAAAUAAUGUUUCCUCAUUCAUUUAUUUGCUGUUCUUCCCUCAUCAGAUUGUAAGAUCCAUGUGUACAGUAUUUAGAAUAUUUUAGAAUGUUUUGUCUACUUCUACUUUCCCAGGACAGUGCCUGACCCCUGGCAGGUGUUCAGUUAAAGCCUGGCAAAUGGGCAAAGUGUGUGACCUCACCAGGGAACCAGAGGUGUGCACUGAUGGUUCUGAGGAGGAGUCCUUUAUGAUGGCAAAGAAGUCCAAGACAGAGCCUCAAGCUGUCACCCUGGGUAGAGUGCUGUGGCAUCACAGCUCACAGCAACCUCCAACUCCUGGACUCGAGCAAUUCUCCUGCCUCCGCCUCCCAAGUAGCUGGGACUACAGGUGCCUGCCACAACACCCGGCUAUUUUUUGGUUGCAGCCGUCAUUGUUGUCUGGCAGGCCUGGGCUGGAUUCGAAUCCGCCAGCUCAGGUGUAUGUGGCUGGCGCCUUAGCCGCUUGAGCCACAGGCGCCGAGCCAAUUCUUCUCAAUAAAAUAUCACAAGAAUGGAGAAGCAAAAAUCCAAUGUAUUCAAGACUAAUAUGAACCCAGUAGAUGAUCUAAUACAUUCUCAGAAAAAUCAGUGAAAAAUAUCAGGAAAACAGGAAAAAAUACAAUUCCUUUGCAAGAGUUGAAGCUUAACAGUCAGUGUGGAUACAGACAUCCCUGCUAUGAAGGAACCCACUAAUUUCAAGUCAAAAGGAAGAGUGAGUGCAGGAAGGAGCACAGAAGGGCGAAGGGAGAAGCGCUGGGGCUGGAGCAGUCUUGCUUGUGGCUGCCACCACAUCGAAAAUGAGGCCCAAUGAAGAGAAACAUCCAGACACCAGUGUUUAAAAGACAAAGGACUUCAUUUCAGCCAGUGGAUGGACUAGAGUGCAAAAAUGGCUGAGCUCCCCAGUGGCUUUGUCUUUUCCCUUUUAUCUCCAGCCAAGGGUUCCUUGUCCACGGAUACCUUUCUCGUUUGUCAGUUUGAAUCGAUCUGGAGAAGUCAGGUGCAGGCUUUUACAGAAGCAGAAGCAAGCAUUAGUUUCAAGGUCCCAGAAGUUAAGUUUUUACAAAUUUCUAAGAGCUGAGUCACCACAGGGGGGGACUUUGCAGGAGUGUCUUUGGGCUCCUGUGAGAAACCUUUGUUUUUGUUUUUUUUUGAGAAAGAGUCUCACUUUGUCACCCUUGGUAGAGUGCCGUGGCGUCACACAGCUCACAGCAACCUCCAACUCCAGGGCUUAGGUGAUUCUCCCGCCUCAGGCUCCCCAGUAGCUGGGACUACAGGCGCCCACCACAACACCUGGCUAUUUUUUGUUGCAGUUUGGGCGAGGCUGGAUUUGAACCCACCACCCUGGGUAUAUGGGGCCGGCACCCUACUCACUGAGCCAUAGGUGCCACUCUGAGAAGCCUUUGUUUUUUUAGACCUUAUUUUUUCCAGGUAUGCUC